ACUAAAUAGAUACCCGGGUAGUCCACGCCCUAAACGAUGUCUACUAGUUGUCGGGGAUUCAUUUCCUUGGUAAACGCAGCUAAACGCGUGAAAGUAGACCGCCUGGGGAGUACGGCCGCAAGGUUAAAACUCAAAGGAAUUGACGGGGACCCGCACAAGCGGUGGAUGAUGUGGAUUAAUUCGAUGCAACGCGAAAAACCUUACCUACGCUUGACAUGCCAGGAACUUUCCAGAGAUGGAUUGGUGCCCGAAAGGGAACCUGGACACAGGUGCUGCAUGGCUGUCGUCAGCUCGUGUCGUGAGAUGUUGGGUUAAGUCCCGCAACGAGCGCAACCCUUAUCCUUAGUUGCUACGCAAGGGCACUCUAGGGAGACUGCCGGUGACAAACCGGAGGAAGGUGGGGAUGACGUCAAGUCCUCAUGGCCCUUAUGUGUAGGGCUUCACACGUCAUACAAUGGUCGGUACAGAGGGUCGCCAACCCGCGAGGGGGAGCCAAUCCCAGAAAACCGAUCGUAGUCCGGAUUGCAGUCUGCAACUCGACUGCAUGAA
RNAcentral lists this ribosomal RNA (549 nucleotides) under uncultured bacterium. Its description in RNAcentral is "bacterial SSU rRNA". It matches the Rfam family "Bacterial small subunit ribosomal RNA", at positions 772 to 1324 of the family's 1533-position model. The record is from RNAcentral.